RNAcentral lists this ribosomal RNA (477 nucleotides) under Candidatus Brocadia fulgida. RNAcentral describes it as "bacterial SSU rRNA". It matches the Rfam family "Bacterial small subunit ribosomal RNA", at positions 365 to 832 of the family's 1533-position model. The record is from RNAcentral. Lineage: Bacteria; Pseudomonadati; Planctomycetota; Candidatus Brocadiia; Candidatus Brocadiales; Candidatus Brocadiaceae. RNAcentral also lists the same sequence under 3 other names.
UUCGCAAUGCCCGAAAGGGUGACGAAGCGACGCCGCGUGCGGGAAGAAGGCCUUCGGGUUGUAAACCGCUGUCGGGAGUUAAGAAAUGCAAGGGUGUUAACAGCAUCCUUGCUUGACUAAGGCUCCGGAGGAAGCCACGGCUAACUCUGUGCCAGCAGCCGCGGUAAUACAGAGGCGGCAAGCGUUGUUCGGAAUUAUUGGGCGUAAAGAGCACGUAGGCGGCUGUGUAAGUCGGUUGUGAAAGCCUUCCGCUCAACGGGAGAACGGCAUCCGAUACUGCAUGGCUUGAGUGCGGGAGGGGAGAGUGGAACUUCUGGUGGAGCGGUGAAAUGCGUAGAUAUCAGAAGGAACACCGGCGGCGAAGGCGACUCUCUGGCCCGUAACUGACGCUGAGUGUGCGAAAGCUAGGGGAGCAAACGGGAUUAGAUACCCCGGUAGUCCUAGCCGUAAACGAUGGGCACUAAGUAGAGGGGUUUU